CCCAUGGCCCCAUGUAGCUGUGUCACUGGCACCCCCGUGGCUACCCUGUGCUUACCAAAUAAAACAAUUAUGUAUUUAUUACGAUUUUAUAUGAGAACGUCAAAAGCAGAACUAAUGCAACCACGUUCAAACACUGCAGCCUGCUGCCACUGGUGUGUGGCGCUGGCGCUGCUCAGUGAAUGAUAGAUCAGACCAGAGAGAAGAAGACAAACGAAGAAGAUGGAGUUGUGAUUUCUCAGUUCCGAAUGGCGGCCAUAUUGGAAUUUUCUUUACUGUCGCUAGUUUCACACUACUUGAUUUCUCAUGUUGCAGUAAGCUAAACGAUUUCAUCUCUUACGUGACUUGUUGUUCUUGCACGUAACUGUGUAACCGUCUGACUGAUAAAGAAGUUGUUAAAUGUCUUUACGUUUAGAAACAUAAUCAAGCAAACUCAUCCAAGCAGAUGCGAAUAGCCUACAAUGUCAGUACUCAAACCACCAGUAGCAGGCUUAGGACUAGAGUUUGCCAGUCAGACCACUACACCUUUGCCAGCACCACCACCCAGCAAGCUUCAUCAACUCCAGCCAUGCCGAGUUUACCAAUCAGACCUACACCUCUGUCAAAUUCGCUCACAACGCUGCCAGUAACACCCCAGCAAGGUAGAACUGCAUUUUCAUUAAUCUGGCACCAAUAUCAAGGGAGAAACAAGCCAUGAAUGUCUGUCACAACUUCUUUGCAUCUUUACUUUCCUUACAUCUGA
Long non-coding RNA from Sardina pilchardus (European sardine), 739 nucleotides. RefSeq lists it as uncharacterized. The transcript has 3 exons. The record is from RefSeq and is a predicted model, not a curated record. Lineage: Eukaryota; Metazoa; Chordata; Actinopteri; Clupeiformes; Clupeidae.